GUGUGCCGCUCUCAGAGGCCCCGAGGGGAGCAGGGGCGCCGGCCUCUGUGCCUCUUCCUGCUUGUUUCCCGCUGCAAAAACACCUCUCUCUCUCUCUCUCUCUCUUUCUCUCUCUCUCAAACACACACACACACACCCAAGGCAUACUUGCCUCCCCUUAUCCGAAUAACAAAGCAAAUAUUAACCCUCCUCCCACCACUUUGGGCAAAUCCCCGGGGAGGUUUGCUCUCCUUGGCACCAGGAGGGUUGGGGAAAGCACCUUCUAGGGGUGAUCCAUGGGGGGCGAGAGUGCAAGGACGAGCCCUUGUUUUUUGUAGGCUCCAGGCAGGUCCGGAGCGAAGCGGCUGGGAAGCCCAGCAGGAGACCCGGCUCGCCCCACCCGCGAUGGUGACUGGAGGAGGCUCCUCUAGGAGUCCUGGCUGCACCUCCAAGAUCUGCCUUCAGGAGAGACGCGGCCGGGGUGGACACGGCGGGAGGUGCAUUCUCAGACCUGGGGACGUUCCACUGCACAAGGACAGCGAGGGUGCUAGUUGGGGAACGCAUAGCCACCGAUCCCAGGCGCCGGGCCAAGUCGCCCGCUGAACGUCUUCUACUGGAGGCGAAUUCGGGCGCAGCGACGGGGGGCAGGGGCAACUAAGUUAUCCGGUUAAGAAACGUGCACUCGCACUGGACUCUGCUAACUGCUGACGACGGACUCCGCUUCUUGCCUGAGAGGGAGGAAGCACGAACGUUCUGUAUGUAACGAAAUGAGGACGACUGUUUCAAAGCUACUCAAAUAUUGUUGUGUUAAAGAGUAUUUACACUGAUCUCAUUGUAUCAUUUAGCUUCAAAGCUCAAAAUUCUGCUUUACUUAGAUAAGAGCUUGAAGUCCAAAUCUACACAAGUCAGAACCUAUGCAAGAAAAGCACCAUCGGUAGAAAUGAAUACACUUUGAAUGCCAUGGACCACCCUGUCUUCAGAGCAUGUCUGUUUGCUGACAUAGUUGGCUCCCUCAUAGCCCUUUAAAAAAUUGUCACGUAAAAAUGUGGGCGUUGCUGAAGGUUUUUAUUAAAAC
This 1054-nucleotide long non-coding RNA is filed under the name Homo sapiens (human). Its description in RNAcentral is "HSALNT0399786". Lineage: Eukaryota; Metazoa; Chordata; Mammalia; Primates; Hominidae. The record is from RNAcentral.